This is a long non-coding RNA of Stylophora pistillata, 357 nucleotides long. The record is from RefSeq and is a predicted model, not a curated record. Lineage: Eukaryota; Metazoa; Cnidaria; Anthozoa; Scleractinia; Pocilloporidae.
AUGUUGAACAGACCCGUUACGUGACUCUGACCGUGCACAAGUUCAUUCAAGAUGGCGGACGGUGUAGACGAUCUGUUUGCGUGGUGAGAAGAUUUUGAGGCGAUCUUGGGUAUUUUGGAAGACGAUGACGAAGUAGAGGAACAAUUUUCCGUCGCAGUUAGAAAUGCUCAGCGUCAAGAAAUUUUUUGUCAUGACUGCGGAAAGAAAUACAAAAUAAGAGGUUAUGACAGACACGGGGCUGCAAAACACAACAAUCAACAAGAAGGAUUGGAACAGGUGCAACAGUUGAGCCCAAGCGUUCUUGUAGAAAUAAUUGACCGUGCUGUCCGCAAUGUUAAGGAAAGGAAAGUUUUUGCA